UAAGGAAUAUUGCUCAAUGGGAGAAAUCCUGAAGCAGCAACGCCGCGUGGAGGAUGAAGGGUCUAUGACUUGUAAACUCCUGUAAAGAAGGAAAAAAUUCCCAUUUGAUGGGAGAUGAUGGUACUUCUGGAGUAAGCCCCGGCUAACUACGUGCCAGCAGCCGCGGUAAUACGUAGGGGGCAAGCGUUGUCCGGAUUUACUGGGUGUAAAGGGUGCUCAGGCGGAUUUGUAAGUCAGAGGUGAAAUCUUACAGCUUAACUGUGAAACUGCCUUUGAUACUGCAAGCCUAGAGUAUGGAAGAGAGAGAUGGAAUAUCUGGUGUGGCAGUGAAAUGCGUAGAUAUCAGAUAGAACACCAAUGGCGAAGGCAGUCACUUGGUCCAUUACUGACGCUAAAGCACGAAAGCGUGGGUAGCAAACA
Molecule: ribosomal RNA, 420 nt
Filed under: uncultured bacterium
Lineage: Bacteria
Description: bacterial SSU rRNA
Rfam family: Bacterial small subunit ribosomal RNA
Source: RNAcentral